RNAcentral lists this ribosomal RNA (2921 nucleotides) under Klebsiella pneumoniae. Its description in RNAcentral is "23S ribosomal RNA". It matches the Rfam family "Bacterial large subunit ribosomal RNA". Lineage: Bacteria; Pseudomonadati; Pseudomonadota; Gammaproteobacteria; Enterobacterales; Enterobacteriaceae. The record is from RNAcentral.
GGGUUGUGAGGUUAAGCGACUAAGCGUACACGGUGGAUGCCCUGGCAGUCAGAGGCGAUGAAGGACGUGCUAAUCUGCGAAAAGCGUCGGUAAGGUGAUAUGAACCGUUAUAACCGGCGAUGUCCGAAUGGGGAAACCCAGUGUGAUUCGUCACACUAUCGUUAACUGAAUACAUAGGUUAACGAGGCGAACCGGGGGAACUGAAACAUCUAAGUACCCCGAGGAAAAGAAAUCAACCGAGAUUCCCCCAGUAGCGGCGAGCGAACGGGGAGCAGCCCAGAGUCUGAAUCAGCUUGUGUGUUAGUGGAACGGUCUGGAAAGUCCGACGGUACAGGGUGAUAGUCCCGUACACCAAAAUGCACAGGUUGUGAACUCGAAGAGUAGGGCGGGACACGUGGUAUCCUGUCUGAAUAUGGGGGGACCAUCCUCCAAGGCUAAAUACUCCUGACUGACCGAUAGUGAACCAGUACCGUGAGGGAAAGGCGAAAAGAACCCCGGCGAGGGGAGUGAAAAAGAACCUGAAACCGUGUACGUACAAGCAGUGGGAGCACCUUCGGGUGUGACUGCGUACCUUUUGUAUAAUGGGUCAGCGACUUAUAUUCUGUAGCAAGGUUAACCGUAUAGGGGAGCCGCAGGGAAACCGAGUCUUAACUGGGCGUUAAGUUGCAGGGUAUAGACCCGAAACCCGGUGAUCUAGCCAUGGGCAGGUUGAAGGUUGGGUAACACUAACUGGAGGACCGAACCGACUAAUGUUGAAAAAUUAGCGGAUGACUUGUGGCUGGGGGUGAAAGGCCAAUCAAACCGGGAGAUAGCUGGUUCUCCCCGAAAGCUAUUUAGGUAGCGCCUCGUGAACUCAUCUUCGGGGGUAGAGCACUGUUUCGGCUAGGGGGUCAUCCCGACUUACCAACCCGAUGCAAACUACGAAUACCGAAGAAUGUUAUCACGGGAGACACACGGCGGGUGCUAACGUCCGUCGUGAAGAGGGAAACAACCCAGACCGCCAGCUAAGGUCCCAAAGUCAUGGUUAAGUGGGAAACGAUGUGGGAAGGCACAGACAGCGGGAUGUUGGCUUAGAAGCAGCCAUCAUUUAAAGAAAGCGUAAUAGCUCACUGGUCGAGUCGGCCUGCGCGGAAGAUGUAACGGGGCUAAACCAUGCACCGAAGCUGCGGCAGCGACACUAUGUGUUGUUGGGUAGGGGAGCGUUCUGUAAGCCUGCGAAGGUGUGCUGUGAGGCAUGCUGGAGGUAUCAGAAGUGCGAAUGCUGACAUAAGUAACGAUAAAGCGGGUGAAAAGCCCGCUCGCCGGAAGACCAAGGGUUCCUGUCCAACGUUAAUCGGGGCAGGGUGAGUCGACCCUAAGGCGAGGCCGAAAGGCGUAGUCGAUGGGAAACAGGUUAAUAUUCCUGUACUUGGUGUUACUGCGAAGGGGGGACGGAGAAGGCUAUGUUAGCCGGGCGACGGUUGUCCCGGUUUAAGCAUGUAGGCUGGUUGUCCAGGCAAAUCCGGAUAAUCAAGGCUGAGGUGUGAUGACGAGGCACUACGGUGCUGAAGUAACAAAUGCCCUGCUUCCAGGAAAAGCCUCUAAGCAUCAGGUAACAUUAAAUCGUACCCCAAACCGACACAGGUGGUCAGGUAGAGAAUACCAAGGCGCUUGAGAGAACUCGGGUGAAGGAACUAGGCAAAAUGGUGCCGUAACUUCGGGAGAAGGCACGCUGGUGUGUAGGUGAAGUCCCUGCGGAUGGAGCUGAGACCAGUCGAAGAUACCAGCUGGCUGCAACUGUUUAUUAAAAACACAGCACUGUGCAAACACGAAAGUGGACGUAUACGGUGUGACGCCUGCCCGGUGCCGGAAGGUUAAUUGAUGGGGUUAUCCGUAAGGAGAAGCUCUUGAUCGAAGCCCCGGUAAACGGCGGCCGUAACUAUAACGGUCCUAAGGUAGCGAAAUUCCUUGUCGGGUAAGUUCCGACCUGCACGAAUGGCGUAAUGAUGGCCAGGCUGUCUCCACCCGAGACUCAGUGAAAUUGAACUCGCUGUGAAGAUGCAGUGUACCCGCGGCAAGACGGAAAGACCCCGUGAACCUUUACUAUAGCUUGACACUGAACAUUGAGCCUUGAUGUGUAGGAUAGGUGGGAGGCUUUGAAGCGUGGACGCCAGUCUGCGUGGAGCCAACCUUGAAAUACCACCCUUUAAUGUUUGAUGUUCUAACGUUGGCCCCUUACCGGGGUUGCGGACAGUGUCUGGUGGGUAGUUUGACUGGGGCGGUCUCCUCCCAAAGCGUAACGGAGGAGCACGAAGGUUAGCUAAUCCUGGUCGGACAUCAGGAGGUUAGUGCAAUGGCAUAAGCUAGCUUGACUGCGAGCGUGACGGCGCGAGCAGGUGCGAAAGCAGGUCAUAGUGAUCCGGUGGUUCUGAAUGGAAGGGCCAUCGCUCAACGGAUAAAAGGUACUCCGGGGAUAACAGGCUGAUACCGCCCAAGAGUUCAUAUCGACGGCGGUGUUUGGCACCUCGAUGUCGGCUCAUCACAUCCUGGGGCUGAAGUAGGUCCCAAGGGUAUGGCUGUUCGCCAUUUAAAGUGGUACGCGAGCUGGGUUUAGAACGUCGUGAGACAGUUCGGUCCCUAUCUGCCGUGGGCGCUGGAGAAUUGAGGGGGGCUGCUCCUAGUACGAGAGGACCGGAGUGGACGCAUCACUGGUGUUCGGGUUGUCAUGCCAAUGGCACUGCCCGGUAGCUAAAUGCGGAAGAGAUAAGUGCUGAAAGCAUCUAAGCACGAAACUUGCCCCGAGAUGAGUUCUCCCUGAGACUUUAAGUCUCCUGAAGGAACGUUGAAGACGACGACGUUGAUAGGCCGGGUGUGUAAGCGCAGCGAUGCGUUGAGCUAACCGGUACUAAUGAACCGUGAGGCUUAACCUUACAACGCCGAAG